UGGUGGUGCAUGGCCGUUCUUAGUUGGUGGAGUGAUUUGUCUGGUUAAUUCCGUUAACGAACGAGACCCCUGCCUGCUAAAUAGUUACACUAAUGUUUUAUUUGUGUUAACUUCUUAGAGGGACUUUCAGUGACUAACUGAAGGAAGAUGGGGGCAAUAACAGGUCUGUGAUGCCCUUAGAUGUCCUGGGCCGCACGCGCGCUACACUGAUGCAUUCAAUAAGUCUUUCCUUGGCCGAGAGGCUUAGGUAAACUUUUAAUAUGUUUCGUGAUAGGGAUUGAAUCUUGUAAUUAUUAUUCAUGAACGAGGAAUUCCUAGUAACCGCAGAUCAUUAAUCUGCAGUGAUUACGUCCCUGCCCUUUGUACACACCGCCCGCCGCACCUACCGAUUGAAUGAUCCGGUGAGGACUGGAGAUUAAGGCAAUCUUUCUUCACUGGAAGUGCGCCAUGAGAACUUGUCCAAAUCUAUCAUUAGAGAAGGGAAGUCGAGCAGAAAUAGG
RNAcentral lists this ribosomal RNA (500 nucleotides) under uncultured diatom. RNAcentral's name for it is "SSU rRNA". It matches the Rfam family "Eukaryotic small subunit ribosomal RNA", at positions 1275 to 1805 of the family's 1831-position model. The record is from RNAcentral. Lineage: Eukaryota; Bacillariophyta.